Molecule: ribosomal RNA, 1512 nt
Filed under: Meroles squamulosus
Lineage: Eukaryota; Metazoa; Chordata; Lepidosauria; Squamata; Lacertidae
Description: partial large subunit ribosomal RNA
Rfam family: Bacterial large subunit ribosomal RNA
Source: RNAcentral
GCUAACACCGGCUACACAAAAACACAAAAACUAUCAAACAAAACCAAACCAUUUGACACAGUAAGUAAACGAGAUUGAACACUACCCCAGCCCAACUAGUACCACAAGGGAACCUUGAAAGAAUAAUGAAACCCGAAGCACAACAUAGCAAAGAUUAACCCUUGUACCUCUUGCAUCAUGGUCUUGCAAAACCACACCAGACAAAGAGACCUUAAGCCUGCUCUUCCCGAAACCAAGCGAGCUAUUUUUGAGCAGCCUCUCAACAGGGCACACCCAUCUCUGUGGCAAAAGAGUGGAAAGACUUAAAAAUAGAGGUGAAAAGCCAACCGAGCCUGGUAAUAGCUGGCUACUCAAUAAAAGAAUUUUAGUUCAACCCUGAGCCCUAACAACUUAACCUACAUAACAUAUCUCCCACCCAGGGAAAGUCAAUGGGGGUACAGCUCCAUUGACCCGGAAUACAACCCGAACUGAGAACUCACACCUUUUCCACACCACCAGUAGACUUCAAAGCAGCCAUCACUCUAAGUGCGUCACAGCCUCCCCACUAAACUAAUCCCAUAAUUAAAUCCCCAUCUCCAGAAUAAUAUGAGUCAUUUUAUAGCGUUAUAAAAAAACUUAUGCUAGAACUAGUAAUAAGAAAACUUCUCUAUGCACACCCCUGAAUCUGCACAGAAAAACUACUGAUAAUUAACAAACAAACACACACUUCACACCAAAUGUUACUUACUACCUGUCAACCCAACACAGGAGUGCCAAACAGAAAGGUUAAAAAGUAUAAAAGGAACUCGGCAAAUAAAGUCCCAACUGUUUACCAAAAACAUAGCCUUUAGCCAAACAAGUAUUAAAGGUCUUACCUGCCCAGUGAUCUCUUUAAACGGCCGCGGUAUCCUAACCGUGCAAAGGUAGCAUAAUCAUUUGUUCCCUAAAUAGGGACUAGAAUGAACGGUUAAAUGAGGACUAAACUGUCUCUUAUACUAAACCAAUAAACUUGAUCUUUCAGUCCAAAAGCUGAAAUAACACCAUAAGACGAGAAGACCCUGUGGAGCUUUUAGACCGACCUACAAACCUCAUGUAUCUCAAGGUUUUUAGUUGGGGCGACUUUGGAGCACAAAAMCCCUCCAACCACGGAAUCUUACUUCUAGACAUACACGUCAACAAACCCAUCCAGACCCAGUAAACUGAAUAAGUUAUCUGAUCUAUGAACCAAGUUACCCCAGGGAUAACAGCGCUAUCUUCUUCUAGAGUUCUUAUCGACAAGAAGGUUUACGACCUCGAUGUUGGAUCAGGACACCCCUAUGGUGCAACCGCUAUAAAAGGUUCGUUUGUUCAACGAUUAAAGUCCUACGCGAUCUGAGUUCAGACCGGAGCAAUCCAGGUCGGUUUCUAUCUAUGUACAAACCACCCCCAGUACGAAAGGACCGGGUUGGUAGGAUCAAUGUUAACUACACAUCCUUCACAACCUUCUGACUUCCACUAAAGUAGUCUUUACUACCCUAAUCCUAUACCAGGAUU